RNAcentral lists this ribosomal RNA (478 nucleotides) under uncultured bacterium. RNAcentral describes it as "partial 16S ribosomal RNA". It matches the Rfam family "Bacterial small subunit ribosomal RNA", at positions 28 to 507 of the family's 1533-position model. The record is from RNAcentral.
GAUGAACGCUGGCGGCGUGCUUAACACAUGCAAGUCGAACGAGAAGUGAAGACGGUAACCUUCGGGCGGAAGGCUUUAUUUCGAGUGGCGGACGGGUGAGUAACGCGUGGGUAACCUGCCUCAUACAGGGGGAUAACAGUUUGAAACGACUGUUAAUACCGCAUAAGACCACAGCACCGCAUGGUGCGGGGUUAAAUACUCCGGUGGUAUGAGAUGGAUCCGCGUUCGAUUAGCCAGUUGGCGGGGUAACGGACCACCAAAGCGACGAUCGAUAGCCGAUAUGGGAAGAUGGCCGGAAACAUUGGGACUGGGACACGGACCGAACUCCUAGGGGAGGAAGCAGUGGGGAAUAUUGCACAAUGGGGGAGAGCAUGAGGCAGCGAGGUCGCGUGAGUGAAGAAGUAUUGAGGUAUGUAAAGCUGUAUCAGCAGCGAAGAAAAUGACGGUACCUGAGUAAGAAGCGCCGGCUAACUACGUG